CUGCUGUCUUUUUGUUUGUCUGUGCCCUGCCCCCAGAGGUGGAGCCUACAGAGGCAGGCAGGCCUCCUUGAGCUGUGGUGGGCUCCACCCAGUUCGAGCUUCCGGGCUGCUUUGUUUACCUAAGCAAGCCUGGGCAAUGGCGGGCGCCCCUCCCCCAGCCUCGCUGCCGCCUUGCAGUUUGAUCUCAGACUGCUGUGCUAGCAAUCAGCGAGACUCCGUGGGCGUAGGACCCUCCGAGCCAGGUGUGUGAUAUAAUCUCGUGGUGCGCCGUUUUUUAAGCCGGUCCGAAAAGGUUAAUAUUCGGGUGGGAGUGACCCGAUUUUCCAGGUGCGUCCGUCACCCCUUUCUUUGACUCAGAAAGGGAACUCCCUGACCCCUUGCGCUUCCCAAGUGAGGCAAUGCCUCGCCCUGCUUCGGCUCGCGCACCGUGCGCGCACCCAUUGACCUGCGCCCACUGCCUGGCACUCCCUAGUGACAUGAACCUGGUACCUCAGAUGGAAAUGCAGAAAUCACCCGUCUUCUGCUUUGCUCACGCUGGGAGCUGUAGACCGGAGCUGUUCCUAUUCGGCCAUCUUCGUUUGAGUCCGCCUCUGUAUUUUAAUGCCCUUUGACUUGGUUGCCAAGUCAUCCCGUUCAUCCCUUUAGUUGCCAAGUUACUGUCCUCUAGGGGAGGGCCCCUAUCUUAUUUCAUUUGCUCCUGUGUCUAGCAAGAAAUAUGGCCUAUAUUGAAGCUUUUAGUAAAUAUUUCUUCAGUAAGUGAGUGAAUGGCAGUUAGAAUGAUUUAGAAACCAACUGGCUCACAAAGUCUAUUUAAACUAUAGUACUGAACAAAGACCAAAGGAGAAAAGCAAAGGCUAUCGAUUCUGAGCUUGCUAUAGCAAAGGAGUCGGCCACCAUCACUAGCGUUUGCGCAGAGACUCAAAGGCAGGCAGAGGAAUGCAAAAGCUUUAAGACCCACGGAAGAGAAGGCUCAGGUGUGCUGAUUGGACUGUUGGCGUGAAGAAGCUGGAGAAAAAGAAGAGAAAGAAAAGGAAAAGAGGAGGAAGUAUGGAAAGAUUUUACUUCAUUGAAAAGGAGCCAAGGAAGAAAUGGGCUUCAAGUUGAAGAUUUUAACAGUAACCCUUUUGAAAAUAUCAGAAGCCGGGGGAGGUGGCUCACACCUGUAAUCCCAGAACUUUGGGAGGCCGAGGCAGGUGGAUCGCCUGAGUUUGGGAGUUUGAGACCAGCCUGACCAACAUGGUGAAACCCCAUCUCUACUAAAAAUACAAAAAUUAGCCGGGCAUGGUGGCACAUGCCUGUAAUCCCAGCUACUCCGGAGGCUGAGUCAGGAGAAUCGCUUGAACCUGGGAGGCGGAGGUUGUGGUGAGCUGAGAUUACGCCAUUGCACUGCAGCCUGGGCAACAAGAGCAAAACUCUGUCUCAAAAAAAAAAUAAAAAUAAAUAAAUAAAAUAAAAAUAUCGGGACCAAAUCUUUACCUUAUAGGUCUCUUUUAUCUUAAAGCUCUGUCAACUGGCAAAACAAAUUAUGUUGUUUUUAGUCAGCAUUGAAGUAUUUAUUUUGCAUGCAAUAAGAUGCACCCAUUUUAAGUCCCAGGUUUUAUGAGUUUUCACAAAUGCAUUCACCUGUGUAGCUAUUCCCAUAAUCAAGACAUAGAAUGUUUCCACAAUUCCUGGAUUUCCCUCUUGCCCCUCUGUUGCCAAUUCCAGAGCCUCUAUACUAGGCACCCACUGAUCUGCUUCUAUUAUGUUAGCUUUGCCUAUUCUAAAAUUUUAUAUAAAUGAAAUCUUACGGUAUGUAGUUUUUUCUACCUGUCUUCUUUUACUCAGCAUGAUGUUUUCCUAUUUAUCCAUGUUGUUGCAUGUUUCUGGAAUUUUACUCUUUUUAUUGCUGAUUAGUAUUCUAUACCACCACUGUGCAAAAUGUAUUUUGUCCCUUUAUCUGUUGAUGGUCAUUUGGUUGUUCCCAGUUUCCUUCUAUUAUAAAUAAAAUGGUAUAGACAUCUGUAUAUAAGUGCUUGUGAAAAUAUAUUUUCAUUUUUCUUGGAUUAGGAUCUAGAAGUGCAAUUCUUGGAUCUUAUGAUGUGUACUUAUUUGUAUAAGAAACAAACUUUUCCAAAGCAAGUAUGCCCUACUAGACUCCCAUCCUCAAUAUAUGAG
Molecule: long non-coding RNA, 2157 nt
Filed under: Homo sapiens (human)
Lineage: Eukaryota; Metazoa; Chordata; Mammalia; Primates; Hominidae
Description: HSALNT0387340
Source: RNAcentral